Long non-coding RNA from Hibiscus syriacus, 451 nucleotides. RefSeq lists it as uncharacterized. The transcript has 4 exons. The record is from RefSeq and is a predicted model, not a curated record. Lineage: Eukaryota; Viridiplantae; Streptophyta; Magnoliopsida; Malvales; Malvaceae.
UUAGCCAAUCCAAGGCCAUGGCGGUUCUCAAGGCGGUUCAUGUUUGUGAUGUAAUCUCGAUCAAGUCCCGGAGAAUGCCGCUUCAGCACUCUGCUCAUCUCGUUUCCGGGCAGGUGUUAAUGAUGAAGAAGAACGCAAAUGCAAGAUUCCCAAGUUUCUGGUGAUGGGCCACAGGGGGGACGGAAUGAACAUGUUGCAAUCGUCUGAUCCCAGUAUGAAAUCCAUCAAAGAGAAUUCUCUUCUCUCUUUGAAUUUGACGUUCAGGUGACGAAAGAUGACUACCCAGUCAUUUACCAUGACAACUUCAUCCACCAUGAAGAAAAGGGUGCCAUUGUUGAGAACAGGGUUACAGAACUUACUUUGACUGGAUUUCUCUCAUAUGGACCUCAGAAACUCUCUGGAACUGUAAUAAUCUUUGAUCUUUCUCUUGGGGCUGUAUUAUGAUGUAGGA